Molecule: ribosomal RNA, 448 nt
Filed under: uncultured bacterium
Lineage: Bacteria
Description: bacterial SSU rRNA
Rfam family: Bacterial small subunit ribosomal RNA
Source: RNAcentral
ACCAGACUCCUACGGGAGGCAGCAGUGGGGGAUAUUGCACAAUGGGGGGAACCCUGAUGCAGCGACGCCGCGUGGGUGAAGAAGCGCCUCGGCGCGUAAAGCCCUGUCAGCAGGGAAGAAAAUGACGGUACCUGAAGAAGAAGCCCCGGCUAACUACGUGCCAGCAGCCGCGGUAAUACGUAGGGGGCAAGCGUUAUCCGGAUUUACUGGGUGUAAAGGGGGCGCAGACGGCGAUGCAAGCCAGGAGUGAAAGCCCGGGGCCCAACCCCGGGACUGCUCUUGGAACUGCGUGGCUGGAGUGCAGGAGGGGCAGGCGGAAUUCCUGGUGUAGCGGUGAAAUGCGUAGAUAUCAGGAGGAACACCGGUGGCGAAGGCGGCCUGCUGGACUGCAACUGACGUUGAGGCCCGAAAGCGUGGGGAGCAAACAGGAUUAGAUACCCCGGUAAAA